AUUGCUCCUAGCCUUGUGGCCAAGGUCAAGUAUAGCAUCUGUUCUUGUCACCUCAGUACCUGGUACAUCCUCUAUCUGAGGACAAUAUGUUAAAUGGGGUCUUAGAACAGAGUUGGGAUGGGAGCUUUCUCUAUCCACUCGGUGCGUCAACCUGGCAUUGCAGUACUUUCAGGAGCAAGAGCGAGAGAG
Molecule: small nuclear RNA, 189 nt
Organism: Erinaceus europaeus (western European hedgehog)
Lineage: Eukaryota; Metazoa; Chordata; Mammalia; Eulipotyphla; Erinaceidae
Gene: U2
Rfam family: U2 spliceosomal RNA
About the family: U2 is a small nuclear RNA (snRNA) component of the spliceosome (involved in pre-mRNA splicing). Complementary binding between U2 snRNA (in an area lying towards the 5' end but 3' to hairpin I) and the branchpoint sequence (BPS) of the intron results the bulging out of an unpaired adenosine, on the BPS, which initiates a nucleophilic attack at the intronic 5' splice site, thus starting the first of two transesterification reactions that mediate splicing.
Source: Ensembl